AGAAAACGAAAGGCUGGUAAGGGAAUGACUGUUUAUUGCUGCUAUAGCGUAAGUGAUAACAGGAACUAGCUUGUUUUUACGCGUUUCGCGACAUUAAAUGUAACUAAAAAUGGAUAAAACGUAUGUGACAUUUCUUUUUUAUAAAUACAAAUUGUUAUUGUUGGCAGAUUGCUGUGGUGUAGCAGGAAUAAAACGAUUGACGGGACAUGCUUUUAGCGGAAAAAUAAUUCGUUUCGGGGAGGUAACAGUCGUCUGUCGUCACUUGUUUAUUUCCUUAAAACAGCAUGACAGCAAAUGUUUAAAUAAGUCCACUGAGAUCGAGUUUCCAUCGCUGUCAGGCCAAGUGUACGGGUCUUUAAUAGAGCAGAACCUGUUAAUAAAAAUAAUAUAUUACAAAAGGCUUCAUGAAAAGAAGAAAGGUUUAAUUAAGUUGAAUUGAAACCAUGCUUACAAAUCAGUUAUCAUGAAAAAUGCAGUUCUUUAAGAUGUCGUUCAAGCAGAUAGGGAUAACUUGAGCACAUCUACAACUAGAUGUUCAGUAGCACAUUUCCAGCUUACAACAGUUGCUUAACAUUUGAUCAGUUUAAUUUUGCACGUAUACUGAAUGGUAUAUUCGACUGAUCAGAAGGUCAUGAGUUCAAAUCCCACCAUGUUGCCACUGCUGGGCCCUUGAGCAAGGCCCUUAACCCUCAACUGCUCAGUUGUAUAAAAAUGAGAUAAAUGAAAGUCGCUCUGGAUAAGUGCGUCUGCAAAAUGUCAUUAAAUGUAAAAACACAAACUUUUUUAAACACUUUCCUGGAACACAGGUCUGGUGAACAGAAUCACCACCAUUACCAAAUGUGUUCAAAAUAAUAACCAAAGGUUUUAUCUCUGAAACACAAACACUGUCCCAAAAUGCUGCGUAUGUAGAGUCUCCUCCCAAAUGGAAAGCUUACGAUAUAGGACUGUACCUGAUUAUGAGCACGUGACUAGUCACGAGGGAAUAUUUCGAUACGAUAAGGAAGCGGCGUAAUAUGUGUGAGUACACGGAUGCUGAAGUCCUAUCUGUAAUACGAAUACGUUCUUGGUACAACUUGAUUAAAAUACAAUUCAAUACUCGAUGAAUGAACGAACGCUUAAUUAUAGUGAUGAAAAAGUUAAGAUGCAAACCCAACAAAGAUGGAGUUCAAAAACAAUUCUGGUCUUGUCUCAUUUCUGAAAGAACAUCACACACACACAUUAAACACAAGACUAUUACAUAUGUGCAAAUAAAAGAUUUUGCAUAAGUGUGCACACCCUUUUAUAAUUAGGGGCGUGGCUGUGUUCCGAAUGAACCAAUCACUUUCAAGCUCAUGUUCAAAAGUAAUUAUUAUACAGCUCUUAUCAGUGAAAUUAUUCUGAUUAACCCUAAAUAGACCAGCUGUUUCUGUAGAAGAAAGAGUGGGAAAAUAUUGAAAGUCAAGAUGAUGGACGCUCUUACCCCAAAUGACUGAGUGGUGUAAUAACAUCAAAAGCUGCUUCAACAAAGUAUUAGUUUAGGGGUGUGCACACUUAUGCAGCU
Ictalurus punctatus (channel catfish) is the source of this 1540-nucleotide long non-coding RNA. The record is from Ensembl. Lineage: Eukaryota; Metazoa; Chordata; Actinopteri; Siluriformes; Ictaluridae.